AGAGACUACAGGAAUAAAGUUGGAAGCUUUGGAGGGUGUCCUGUUGGAAGAGUGGCAUUGAAGGUGUAAAGAUGGCUAGAAAUACCAGGUUGAGCCACUGAGUCAAGAUGAGCAGUGCACAACUGGAUCUUUGUUGAUACACAUGGAUAGUGUGCGCUUAGCAGAUAUGGAUCUUUACCUGAAAGAUGGCUUUAUAAUUCAAUAGCUGAUGAGAUCAGAUUUCCAAGCCCAUGGAACUGUUGAACUCAGGCACAGUGGAAUUCCAUUGCCAGGCUUUGGCAGCCUGCCUGCCGGACGAAUAAGAUCAGCCUAACAUUCAUUCAAACUGCAGGUCAACACAGACUCCUCAGAGAUGCUCAAAUUGUGCUCUGAAGUUGUCCUUAACAGCCACAAUAAAUAAUUCUCUCGUUGCUUUGUCCUA
This is a long non-coding RNA of Mastomys coucha (southern multimammate mouse), 421 nucleotides long. RefSeq lists it as uncharacterized. The record is from RefSeq and is a predicted model, not a curated record. The transcript has 2 exons. NCBI's taxonomy places the organism in Eukaryota, Metazoa, Chordata, Mammalia, Rodentia, Muridae.